GCGUGAGCGAAGAAGGCCUUCGGGUCGUAAAGCUCUGUUGUUAGGGAAGAACAAGUACGAGAGUAACUGCUCGUACCUUGACGGUACCUAACCAGAAAGCCACGGCUAACUACGUGCCAGCAGCCGCGGUAAUACGUAGGUGGCAAGCGUUGUCCGGAAUUAUUGGGCGUAAAGCGCGCGCAGGCGGUCCUUUAAGUCUGAUGUGAAAGCCCACGGCUCAACCGUGGAGGGUCAUUGGAAACUGGGGGACUUGAGUGCAGAAGAGGAGAGUGGAAUUCCACGUGUAGCGGUGAAAUGCGUAGAGAUGUGGAGGAACACCAGUGGCGAAGGCGACUCUCUGGUCUGUAACUGACGCUGAGGCGCGAAAGCGUGGGGAGCAAACAGGAUUAGAUACCCUGGUAGUCCACGCCGUAAACGAUGAGUGCUAAGUGUUAGAGGGUUUCCGCCCUUUAGUGCUGCAGCUAACGCAUUAAGCACUCCGCCUGGGGAGUACGGCCGCAAGGCUG
RNAcentral lists this ribosomal RNA (506 nucleotides) under uncultured Bacillota bacterium. Its description in RNAcentral is "bacterial SSU rRNA". It matches the Rfam family "Bacterial small subunit ribosomal RNA", at positions 399 to 896 of the family's 1533-position model. The record is from RNAcentral. Lineage: Bacteria; Bacillati; Bacillota.